AUGGCCUGGGCUCCUCUCCUGCUCACAUUUCUGGCUCACUGCACAGGGGUCACUUCUCAGUAUGUGGUGAUUCAAGAAUCCUCACUAGCCACAACUCCUGGAGGCACAGUUACACUCACCUGUGGCUCCAGUACUGGGGCUGUCACCACCAGUAAUUAUGCUAAUUGGAUUCAACAGAAGCCGUACCAGAAAACCUGGGGUCUAACAGGUGGAACCAGUAAUAGGCUUCCAGAUGUACCUGCCAGAUUCUCUGGCUCCCUGCUUGGAAACAAGGCAGUCCUCACCAUCACUGGAGCCAAGGAAGAGGAUGAGGCUGAGUAUUUCUGUGCUCUGUGGUUCAGCAAC
This is a non-coding RNA of Sorex araneus (European shrew), 345 nucleotides long. Lineage: Eukaryota; Metazoa; Chordata; Mammalia; Eulipotyphla; Soricidae. The record is from the annotation of a RefSeq genome assembly.